RNAcentral lists this ribosomal RNA (253 nucleotides) under uncultured bacterium. RNAcentral describes it as "partial 16S ribosomal RNA". It matches the Rfam family "Bacterial small subunit ribosomal RNA", at positions 524 to 776 of the family's 1533-position model. The record is from RNAcentral.
GACGUAGGGGGCGAGCGUUGUCCGGAUUUAUUGGGCGUAAAGCGCGCGUAGGCGGCUCGUUAAGUCGGUUGUGAAAACCCGGGGCUCAACCCCGGGCCUGCAUCCGAUACUGGCGGGCUGGAGGCAGAUAGGGGAGAGUGGAAUUCCUGGUGUAGCGGUGGAAUGCGCAGAUAUCAGGAGGAACACCGGUGGCGAAGGCGGCUCUCUGGAUCUGUCCUGACGCUCAGGCGCGAAAGCUAGGGGAGCAAACAGG